UUCGAGUUCAGUAAAAUUCAAGUAACGUUGUUGUUAGAUCGCUCACUGUUUUUCACUUAAGUUUACUUGUCUAGUUUUUGAAGGGUUAUAAUUUGCUAAGUGGUAUUGUAAAUUAAUAGAGUUUAUUCGCAAUUCAGACCCUAGUUGAUAUUUAUAAAGUUUGGGUACUAAAGUAAUAUUUUGUAGGUUAAGUUUUUGUGUUGAUUCUGCAAAAUAAUUGAACUUCGUUAUUACUUCAAGAUUGAGUUCUUUACAAGAGACGGGCGUUCCGUUGAAUAUUCAGGAAGAAGAACGUUGGUGAGGCUGAUCAUCAUGUUGCUGUCAAUUUCAGUUGUGAAGGAAUGAAAGGGGAGAGAGCGUUGAACAACCAUUCAAUUUUCAAGGUUUUGGAAAGUUUACUAGCUGCAUCAUGUCCAAACACCUUUUCUAACAAAGUUUAUGAAGGAAGAGUAAGAGAGUGGUUUACACAAGCUGGAACAAGAAUGGCAAAUAAAAACAAGAGGAGAUUAUUUUUAGUCUGUGUAAAUGAUUAAUUUUUAUAAUAAAUCUUUAUUUAUCU
Long non-coding RNA from Macrosteles quadrilineatus (aster leafhopper), 559 nucleotides. RefSeq lists it as uncharacterized. NCBI's taxonomy places the organism in Eukaryota, Metazoa, Arthropoda, Insecta, Hemiptera, Cicadellidae. The record is from RefSeq and is a predicted model, not a curated record. The transcript has 3 exons.